ACUGAACGCUGGCGGCAUGCCUUACACAUGCAAGUCGAACGGUAACGGGCCUUCGGGUGCCGACGAGUGGCGAACGGGUGAAUAAUACAUCGGAACGUGCCCGAUCGUGGGGGAUAACGAGGCGAAAGCUUUGCUAAUACCGCAUACGAUCUACGGAUGAAAGCAGGGGACCGCAAGGCCUUGCGCGGACGGAGCGGCCGAUGGCAGAUUAGGUAGUUGGUGGGAUAAAAGCUUACCAAGCCGACGAUCUGUAGCUGGUCUGAGAGGAUGAUCAGCCACACUGGGACUGAGACACGGCCCAGACUCCUACGGGAGGCAGCAGUGGGGAAUUUUGGACAAUGGGCGCAAGCCUGAUCCAGCCAUGCCGCGUGCAGGAUGAAGGCCUUCGGGUUGUAAACUGCUUUUGUACGGAACGAAAAGCCUUCUUUUAAUACAGGAGGGUCAUGACGGUACCGUAAGAAUAAGCACCGGCUAACUACGUG
Molecule: ribosomal RNA, 482 nt
Filed under: uncultured bacterium
Lineage: Bacteria
Description: partial 16S ribosomal RNA
Rfam family: Bacterial small subunit ribosomal RNA
Source: RNAcentral